Molecule: ribosomal RNA, 207 nt
Filed under: uncultured Helicobacter sp.
Lineage: Bacteria; Pseudomonadati; Campylobacterota; Epsilonproteobacteria; Campylobacterales; Helicobacteraceae
Description: partial 16S ribosomal RNA
Rfam family: Bacterial small subunit ribosomal RNA
Source: RNAcentral
GCCUGAGAGGGUGAUCGGACACACUGGAACUGAGACACGGUCCAGACUCCUACGGGAGGCAGCAGUAGGGAAUAUUGCUCAAUGGGGGCAACCCUGAAGCAGCAACGCCGCGUGGAGGAUGAAGGUUUUAGGAUUGUAAACUCCUUGUGUCAGGGACGAUAAUGACGGUAUCUCACGAAUAAGCACCGGCUAACUCCGUGCCAGCAG